GCUGCAUUUACAUUUCUGGUAAAGAAUACUUGUGGAAUAGGGAAGAGACUGUCUGUUGGAUUGGGUUGAAUAUUUAUGGUCGUGGAAGUUUUUGAUAAGAAGCGUCCAAAGUUCAUAAAGGAGGAGCCUAUAAGGAGUCUUUAACAGCGUGGGAAAACACAGGAUUGGAAAGGGACUCAAAGCAGCCAGAGGAUAUUUUUCACACAUUGUUUCAAAGGGUGGCACUGGAGACUCUGUUUUUGGCGUCUCAUCAAAGUUGAAUAUAGCACUGUCGGCAAAAGACAGCACAAUGGGACACAACCCCUCCCACACGUCCUCAUCUGCCCCCCUCAUCCAGAGACGGGUGAGAGUGUCGCUUUGUUUUCUGUGCAUGUAAAGGAGGAAGGUGAAACCUGCUGCUAUUUGUUUACAAUGCAAAUCAAGACGUGACGUGCGCCACAUUUUAACUUUAGUAACAAUUUUAGUCAAACAAGUAUCGUAAAUAUCAUUUACACACGUGUCAAACCUAAGACCCGGGGGCUAAAUCCGGUCCUUUAGAUCAUCAAAUUUGGCACUCAGGAUAGAUUCGAAAUGACAAAACAUUAAUUAUUGUGUAAAAAUUCUCAAUAAUUCAUCUGUAGAUAUCUCAACCCUUUCAAAUACAUAAAUUCAAUGAAUAUCCACAAUAUUUGCGGGGAUGCACACUUUUCCCAUGCUUUUAUCAUGUAAUGAUAGUCAAUUGUGCCAAAAAUAAUAAUGC
This 739-nucleotide long non-coding RNA is filed under the name Gouania willdenowi (blunt-snouted clingfish). RNAcentral describes it as "lncRNA (ENSGWIG00000018522.1)". Lineage: Eukaryota; Metazoa; Chordata; Actinopteri; Blenniiformes; Gobiesocidae. The record is from RNAcentral.